Zonotrichia leucophrys gambelii is the source of this 675-nucleotide long non-coding RNA. RefSeq lists it as uncharacterized. The transcript is spliced from 3 exons. Lineage: Eukaryota; Metazoa; Chordata; Aves; Passeriformes; Passerellidae. The record is from RefSeq and is a predicted model, not a curated record.
CGCUCGGGAAUCUCCGAGCAGCGGGAACGGGAGCGGGAUCGGGAUCCGCUCGGGAGUCUCCGAGCAGCGGGAGCGGAGUGCCCCUGGAGUCAUUCCUGAGGCACCACGGGACUGCAGGGAUGCCACAAACCCAGAGUCUGUAGGCACCUUCACCACAAAGAAGACCAGCUGGAGAGGAUCAAUGGAGCGUCGUUGGGAUCCAUGGAGUGCCUGGCUCCGAAGGGAGUCACAGCCUUCUCCUACAGACCUGUUUUUCCUUUUGGAGAGCUGCACCCCCAUGAACAGCCCAUCAGCCCGGAGGAAGACAAGGGGAUGAAGGGCGCCGGCAGAGGGAUCCUUUACCACAGAGCUGGUGGGGCAGCCAAGGAGGACGCUGAACCCUACAAGGAAACACUGGCACUCAUUUACAAACAGAACUCAGCAUUUUUAUUCUUUGAUUGACUUCCUGCUAGUUUUGAUAUUUGCUACCACCAGAGAAGAGCGUAAAAACACAGUACAACAUUGUGAACCAGUUAGGAAGGCUGGAAGGGAAAGCAAAUCCCAGUACAAUUGCAAGUAACUUGGUGGAGUUCAGAAUUGUUUUGAACGGAUCAGCAAUGAAGCAAUAAAUAUGCUGCUGCACUGAACCAACAACAGGAUUUAAUCACUAACUUUGUGGUUUAUUGCAUUACAGUU